Molecule: long non-coding RNA, 309 nt
Filed under: Ananas comosus (pineapple)
Lineage: Eukaryota; Viridiplantae; Streptophyta; Magnoliopsida; Poales; Bromeliaceae
Description: long non-coding RNA (ACOM_LNC044164)
Source: RNAcentral
CCAACCAGGAACAGUACUUAACAACAGAUUGCAUAAGGAAGAUAUCAACAACAUAACACAUCCUAUGUUAUUACAUACAUUCACAUUCAUACAUUUUUACAUCACAGUUCUCAUUUGAUUUCCUCCAGAUACAAUCUAAGUUAUUACAUCAUUUACUUAUUACAGUUUGAUACAUUGUGUUCUUUUCAUUUUCUAUACCCCUAAGCUAGGCUGCCUCAGGGUACUGCUACCUCGGUCUCUGGGAAGGGCGCUAUCUACUGAGCUACGCCCUUUCCUCGCGCCGCCGCACCGCUCACGUGCGAACCUGUA